GGGGAGGAAGAAGAGGAGGAGGAGGAGGGAGCCGCCCUUCAUUGAGCACAUGCUCCAACCUGGACUCUACUCGCGCCACUUUCGCAAUCUUACUACAAUUCACAAACACUCCACUAAGCAUCAUAGUAGUAGCAGCACCACAUGGUCGAGCUUUGCUCGUUUUUUCUCUCCCUUCCCUCACAAUCUCCAUCGUUUUAUUCCCUCACUUUUUGCACCAGCGAGUGUUUAAACGGCACCGCUGCACACCUGGACCUCGCCUGGAAUCGUCUCUCACCCUGGUUGUCCCUCGUCUUCAUCGGUCCGAUGCCACUGUAGUGUCAAAGUGCUUACAGUGCAGGUAGUCUUAUGAUCUCUACUGCAGUGGAGGCACUUUCAGCACUAUCCUGGCGCUCGUAACUAAAGUAUCUCUAAAGUCUCAACACACUUACUAUCAAACGUGGUCUUUGUGUGCAGUAAACCAUCAACCCACAUUAUGGGCAACACAUACUUGUGUACACAUAGUUAUACUCCCAAGGUUUCCACUGGUGCCUGUGCUAAGGUGCAUCUAGUGCAGAUAGUGAAGUAGACGUGCACCUACUGCCCUAAGUGCUCCUUCUGGCAUAAGUGGCCGGAACUGCACCGCAUCACUCCUUGGGCGCCAAAACAAAACAAACAGGUGCGCUGUUAGCUUUGCGUGGUUGCGCUGCAAGAACGGCCAAGUUGUGCAAAUCUAUGCAAAGCUGACGGCGUCCUGUGUUUUACAUCACAGCGCCGGCACAUACUUCCAUCACAGCUCCAGCGGUGUUAAAGUGCUUAUAGUGCAGGUAGUGUCGCCACAAUCUACUGCAGUGUGAGCACUUCAACUACCGCUAGAUGCCAUACCUGCGAAGGAGCCGCGGGACGCUCGCUUGUCCACAUGUGGUUCUCUGGUUAGUUUUGCUGGUUUGCUGUCAGCUUUCCUCUGUUGUGUGCUGUGCAAAUCCAUGCAAAACUGACCACGGACUCAACAGCUAUACCAAGCCGAUUUGAGCCCGGUCUAAGCAGGUUGGGAGAGGGAGCAAUGCUCUGGAUGGACGCAGUAUUGCACUUGUCCCGGCCUGUUGACGACAAUGGGAAUUGGUCUUCUGAGGAGCCUUCCAUGUGUUUACCCAGGUUGCAACAUACAUAGAAAAGUAUAUUUGUUAUGGCUGUCUAAUGUGAAUAUUUCAGAAUUGUGAUAUUAAAUAUACUUUUGUUUGAA
Non-coding RNA from Nerophis lumbriciformis (worm pipefish), 1219 nucleotides. The record is from RefSeq and is a predicted model, not a curated record. Lineage: Eukaryota; Metazoa; Chordata; Actinopteri; Syngnathiformes; Syngnathidae.